This 1330-nucleotide ribosomal RNA is filed under the name Junonia genoveva hilaris. Its description in RNAcentral is "16S ribosomal RNA". Lineage: Eukaryota; Metazoa; Arthropoda; Insecta; Lepidoptera; Nymphalidae. The record is from RNAcentral.
AGGGGGAAAAUUAAUAAAUUAAAUUUAAUAAAAAAAAUUUUAAUAUUAAAAAGAAAAUGGGGGUUUGAGUAUUUUUAAUAGAAAAAAUUAAUAGUUUUAUAGUUAAAUAUUACUGUAAAGGAAUUUAUAAAUAAAUGAAAUAUAAUUAAUGAAAAAGUAAAUUUAAAUUAUUGUAUCUUGUGUAUCAGAGUUUAUUAAAUAAUAAUAAUUUAUUUAAAUAAAUCUCGAAUUUAAAAGAGUUAAUUAAUUAAAAAAGUUAAUGUUGUAUAAUUAUUUUAAAUAAUUAAUUAGAAAUGAAAUGUUAAUCGUUUUUAAAUAUAUCUAGUUUUUUCAGAAAAAAAUUUAAUUUUAAAUUUAAAUAAUUUUAUAAUUAUUUAAUUAAUUAUAAAAAUUUAAAUUUUAAUAUUUUAGGGGAUAAGCUUUAAAUUAAAAAUUUAUAAUUAAAAAUAUUUAAAAUUAAAAUUUUUAAAAUUUAUAUUGUUUAAAAAUUAUAGUUUAUUAUAAAAAAUUUUAUUAAAAAAUAAAAUUUAAAAUAAAAAAAUUUAAAUUUUUAUGAAAAAAUAAUUUAUAAUUCAAUAAAAUUAGAAAUAAUGAUAAAAUUAGUAUAAUAUAAUAAAUUAAAAAAAAAAUUAUAAAUAAUUAAAUUAAAGGAAUUCGGCAAAAAUUUAUAUUCACUUGUUUAUCAAAAACAUGUCUUUUUGAUAAUAAUUUAAAGUCUAAUCUGCCCACUGAUAUUAUAUUAAAGGGCUGCAGUAUAUUGACUGUACAAAGGUAGCAUAAUCAUUAGUCUUUUAAUUGAAGACUUGUAUGAAAGAUUUGAUGAAAUAUAAACUGUCUCUAAUUUAUGAUUAGAAAUUAAUUUUUUAGUUAAAAAGCUAAAAUAACAUUAAAAGACGAGAAGACCCUAUAGAGUUUUAUAUUUUAUUUAAUUAAUAUUAAAUAUAUAAUUAAAUAUAUUAAUUAAGUGAAAUAUUGUGUUGGGGUGAUAGAAAAAUUUAAUAAACUUUUUUUAAAUUUUAACAUAAAUAAGUGGUUAGUUGAUCCAUUAAUAAUGAUUAAAAGAAAAAAUUACCUUAGGGAUAACAGCGUAAUAUUUUUUUUUAGUACAUAUAAAAAAAAAAGUUUGCGACCUCGAUGUUGGAUUAAGAUAAAAUUUAAAUGCAAAAGUUUAAAAUUUUGAUCUGUUCGAUCAUUAAAAUCUUACAUGAUCUGAGUUCAAACCGGUGUAAGCCAGGUUGGUUUCUAUCUUUAGUAAAAAAAAAUAUUUUAGUACGAAAGGAUCAAAUAUUUAAAAUAAUUUUAUAAUAAUGAAUAUUAAUAAUAUAGUUUA